Molecule: long non-coding RNA, 254 nt
Filed under: Vulpes vulpes (red fox)
Lineage: Eukaryota; Metazoa; Chordata; Mammalia; Carnivora; Canidae
Description: lncRNA (ENSVVUG00000024235.1)
Source: RNAcentral
CUUACCCACAGGCUCUUUAAAGAGAAACUGACUUGACUGCAUUCCUGCUCUUGGGGAACUGCAGGCUCUGAUUAUUACAGGAGCUAGGACUACCAUGAGCAGCAAUGAGAUCUGGGGCUGCAGGAAGAAAAGCAACAGAUGGAUUUGAUGUAGGAAUAACUAAACUUGGCUUAAUGGACUGGGAGCCUGAAACUUGCCAGUGAGACUUCAGUUGCAGAAGGAAAGCUGCAUAUUGCAUAAACUCUAUGGUUGAC